Molecule: non-coding RNA, 694 nt
Filed under: Eucalyptus grandis
Lineage: Eukaryota; Viridiplantae; Streptophyta; Magnoliopsida; Myrtales; Myrtaceae
Description: Bacterial small subunit ribosomal RNA
Rfam family: Bacterial small subunit ribosomal RNA
Source: Rfam by way of RNAcentral
UUCCCAUUAACGAGAGUGGACGAGCACAAGGAAGAAGACGGAUCCCAUUAGUUCAUGUGAAGUAGUCUCCUUUGAGCUAUGAAAAUGAGCCACGGCGCAGAACCACGUUCAUAUGGAUCACUCGGUGAGGAUUGCAAUUUUUCCACACCGCCUAGACGUCCUACGGGAGGCAGUAGCGGGGGAUUUUCUGUAAUGGGCGAAAGCCUGACAAAGCAUUGCUACGUGGAGGUAGGAGGCCCACAGCUCGUGAACUUCUUUUCUCGGAGAAGAAGCAACGAUAAUAUUUGGGAAAUAAGCAAGCAUCGGCUAAAUUUGUGCCAACAGCUACGGUAAUACAAAGAAGGCAAGCGUUAUCCGGAAUGAUAGGGCGUAAAGUGUGUGUGGGUGGCUUUUUAAGUCCACCAUCAAAUCUCAAGUCUGAACCUUGGAAUCGAUGGAAACUACCGAGCUGGAGUACAAUAGGGGCAGAGGGAAUUUUCGGUGGAGUGGUGAAAUGUGUAAAGAUUGAAAAGAAUAUCAACAGCGAAAGCACUCUACUGGGCCGACACUAAUAUUGAGAGGCAAAAAUGAGAGGCAAAAAUUAGGGGGUGAACGUGAUUAGAUACCCUAAUAGUCCUAACUUUAAACGAUGGAUACUGGGUAUUGUGUGUAUUGACCCGUUUAAUGCUGUAGCUAACGCAUUAAGUAUUUUGUU